RNAcentral lists this ribosomal RNA (199 nucleotides) under Bifidobacterium sp. 150. RNAcentral's name for it is "partial 16S ribosomal RNA". It matches the Rfam family "Bacterial small subunit ribosomal RNA", at positions 209 to 407 of the family's 1533-position model. Lineage: Bacteria; Bacillati; Actinomycetota; Actinomycetes; Bifidobacteriales; Bifidobacteriaceae. The record is from RNAcentral.
GCUUUCGCGGUAUGGGAUGGGGUCGCGUCCUAUCAGCUUGACGGCGGGGUAACGGCCCACCGUGGCUUCGACGGGUAGCCGGCCUGAGAGGGCGACCGGCCACAUUGGGACUGAGAUACGGCCCAGACUCCUACGGGAGGCAGCAGUGGGGAAUAUUGCACAAUGGGCGCAAGCCUGAUGCAGCGACGCCGCGUGAGGG